GCUCAGAUUGAACGCUGGCGGCAGGCCUAACACAUGCAAGUCGAGCGGUAGCAGGGAGAAAGCUUGCUUUCUUCGCUGACGAGCGGCGGACGGGUGAGUAAUGUCUGGGGAUCUGCCUGAUGGAGGGGGAUAACUACUGGAAACGGUAGCUAAUACCGCAUAACGUCGCAAGACCAAAGUGGGGGACCUUCGGGCCUCAUGCCAUCAGAUGAACCCAGAUGGGAUUAGCUAGUAGGUGAGGUAAUGGCUCACCUAGGCGACGAUCCCUAGCUGGUCUGAGAGGAUGACCAGCCACACUGGAACUGAGACACGGUCCAGACUCCUACGGGAGGCAGCAGUGGGGAAUAUUGCACAAUGGGCGCAAGCCUGAUGCAGCCAUGCCGCGUGUAUGAAGAAGGCCUUCGGGUUGUAAAGUACUUUCAGUAGGGAGGAAGGUGUGCGUGUUAAUAGCACGUACAAUUGACGUUACCUACAGAAGAAGCACCGGCUAACUCCGUGCCAGCAGCCGCGGUAAUACGGAGGGUGCAAGCGUUAAUCGGAAUUACUGGGCGUAAAGCGCACGCAGGCGGUUUGUUAAGUUGGAUGUGAAAUCCCCGGGCUUAACCUGGGAACUGCAUCCAAGACUGGCAAGCUAGAGUCUCGUAGAGGGAGGUAGAAUUCCAGGUGUAGCGGUGAAAUGCGUAGAGAUCUGGAGGAAUACCGGUGGCGAAGGCGGCCUCCUGGACGAAGACUGACGCUCAGGUGCGAAAGCGUGGGGAGCAAACAGGAGUAGAUACCCUGGUAGUCCACGCUGUAAACGAUGUCGAUAGAGAGGUUGUGCCCUUGAGGCGUGGCUUCCGAAGCUGUACGCUUUAA
This 855-nucleotide ribosomal RNA is filed under the name Edwardsiella tarda. Its description in RNAcentral is "bacterial SSU rRNA". It matches the Rfam family "Bacterial small subunit ribosomal RNA", at positions 22 to 863 of the family's 1533-position model. Lineage: Bacteria; Pseudomonadati; Pseudomonadota; Gammaproteobacteria; Enterobacterales; Hafniaceae. The record is from RNAcentral.